GACCACAACUGUGGCCACGCAGGAAGCCGGCCAUUAAGGGGAAACAAAAGUGUCACAAAGAGUCCUGUUGUCACUGUGGAUGGAGCCACUUGCUGAGUCCCAGGCAGGCUCUGAUGGGGACCUCCUGGCAGGGAGGGGUGGAGGAAGCUGCAGGAGGCCUUGGCAGCCAGACCCCAAGG
This 179-nucleotide long non-coding RNA is filed under the name Carlito syrichta (Philippine tarsier). RNAcentral's name for it is "Pvt1 onco conserved region 2 (ENSTSYG00000025479.1)". It matches the Rfam family "Pvt1 oncogene conserved region 2". The record is from RNAcentral. Lineage: Eukaryota; Metazoa; Chordata; Mammalia; Primates; Tarsiidae.